ACCUGAAUUAAAAGCAUCCCCAGCGCAAAUGCCGGAAACGAGAUCCCCGACACCGCAAUGGUCAUACUCAAUCGAUCCGGCCAACGAU
RNAcentral lists this transfer RNA (88 nucleotides) under Escherichia coli. Its description in RNAcentral is "tRNA-Ser". The record is from RNAcentral. Lineage: Bacteria; Pseudomonadati; Pseudomonadota; Gammaproteobacteria; Enterobacterales; Enterobacteriaceae.